RNAcentral lists this ribosomal RNA (538 nucleotides) under uncultured bacterium. RNAcentral's name for it is "partial 16S ribosomal RNA". It matches the Rfam family "Bacterial small subunit ribosomal RNA", at positions 355 to 884 of the family's 1533-position model. The record is from RNAcentral.
UGGGGAAUUUUGGACAAUGGGCGAAAGCCUGAUCCAGCAAUGCCGCGUGUGUGAAGAAGGCCUUCGGGUUGUAAAGCACUUUUGUCCGGAAAGAAAUCCUCUGGGUUAAUACCUCGGGGGGAUGACGGUACCGGAAGAAUAAGCACCGGCUAACUACGUGCCAGCAGCCGCGGUAAUACGUAGGGUGCAAGCGUUAAUCGGAAUUACUGGGCGUAAAGCGUGCGCAGGCGGUUUUGUAAGACGGAUGUGAAAUCCCCGGGCUUAACCUGGGAACCGCAUUCGUGACUGCAAGGCUAGAGUAUGGCAGAGGGGGGUAGAAUUCCACGUGUAGCAGUGAAAUGCGUAGAGAUGUGGAGGAAUACCGAUGGCGAAGGCAGCCCCCUGGGCCAAUACUGACGCUCAUGCACGAAAGCGUGGGGAGCAAACAGGAUUAGAUACCCUGGGUAGUCCACGCCCUAAACGAUGUCAACUAGUUGUUGGGGAUUCAUUUCCUUAGUAACGUAGCUAACCGCGUGAAGUUGACCGCCUGGGGAGUAAC